UCCUGGUCCUUAUCCAGUCCUCCUUCUGACAUUUGGGGGUCGCCCCUCCCUAUUCCCGGUCCAAGUGCUUUGGGUGGGACUCCACCCCUGGAUCCAGCCAAUCCGAACAUACCAUUCCGCUGCCUGUGGUGAUUGGCUCAGAGGUAGGCAUGUGACCUGAGUGCAUCCAAUCAGAGUGAGUCCAAGUGCUGCCAUAGGAGAUCUUGGAAAAGCCCAGGCCGGGCUCCGUGGCUCACAUCUGUAAUCCCAGCACGGUGGGAGGCUGAGGCGGGUGGAUCACGAGGUGAAUGGAUAUGACAGUAGCUAAAAGGAGAGGCUGGAAGAGAUUAUAGAAUUUUGUGGAGAAAAAUUCGUUCUUUUCCUGAGGGAAGGCCAAAGCCUGCAGUCAUGAUGGAGUUGGAGAAAGGUGUGAAGGGCCAGGCCAGGAGCCCAGGGAGAGGAGGCCUGAGAGAGGAGCCCUGUGGAAUGAAGCCUGUGAACAGCCCAUUUUCACUUCUGAAGCAGUUGGUCCCCCACAAAAAGAUUAUUUUCUCCAAAGCAGAUGAAAAU
Molecule: long non-coding RNA, 549 nt
Filed under: Homo sapiens (human)
Lineage: Eukaryota; Metazoa; Chordata; Mammalia; Primates; Hominidae
Description: HSALNT0292266
Source: RNAcentral